GACAGCUCAGUUGGUUAGAGCAUGGUUCUGAUAACACCAAGGCUGCAGGUUCAAUCCCCGUACUGGACAUCUGCA
This is a non-coding RNA of Podarcis lilfordi (Lilford's wall lizard), 75 nucleotides long. NCBI's taxonomy places the organism in Eukaryota, Metazoa, Chordata, Lepidosauria, Squamata, Lacertidae. The record is from the annotation of a GenBank genome assembly.